Molecule: ribosomal RNA, 201 nt
Filed under: Bacillus nitratireducens
Lineage: Bacteria; Bacillati; Bacillota; Bacilli; Caryophanales; Bacillaceae
Description: 16S rRNA. Bacterial SSU
Rfam family: Bacterial small subunit ribosomal RNA
Source: RNAcentral
CUUUAUUGGAGAGUUUGAUCCUGGCUCAGGAUGAACGCUGGCGGCGUGCCUAAUACAUGCAAGUCGAGCGAAUGGAUUGAGAGCUUGCUCUCAAGAAGUUAGCGGCGGACGGGUGAGUAACACGUGGGUAACCUGCCCAUAAGACUGGGAUAACUCCGGGAAACCGGGGCUAAUACCGGAUAAUAUUUUGAACUGCAUGGU